Molecule: long non-coding RNA, 2874 nt
Filed under: Homo sapiens (human)
Lineage: Eukaryota; Metazoa; Chordata; Mammalia; Primates; Hominidae
Description: non-protein coding lnc-ECHDC3-6:1
Source: RNAcentral
GUUUUUUUUUAAAUUCAGUGGAAUAGCGAAGCAAAAAUUGUCAAAGACAAAUGUUUAAGGGCCAUCUGUUCAGUCUAGUUUAGCGCACACGUCUCUAAGGAGGCAGCUAAAUCCCUCACAGUGACGUUGGCAGGGUCAGCGUACCCACCCAGUUCACCUGUAAGGCGUGCCUCUGCCUGGAUCCCUCAAGAACCAAACCUGCAAUUUGGUUUCACCUUACAGGUGAAUACUCAGGUCCAACAGGUUUCUGAAGAAUAAAUCAGUACUAACUUACACCAAAACAAUCAUAUGAAGCAGUCUUUUUAUUACAGGGGCAGCUUAUUUUACAAAUAGUGGCUUUCAAAAUGUUCUGAUGUCACGAUAUAGAAUAAGUACGAGUCUGGUAUCAGAGAAGGGCAUUUCACCUUCAGAAGAACCACCUACUCUAAUGUGUGCUUUUGAAACAUAACAUCAUGGCAGAUCAUCCCCAGAAAGUGCCCAUUAGCUCUGUGUGCACUGCUAAGUCCACGUAGUCUUCCGGUGCCUGCCCACACUGCUUACAUAAGCAAGGUCCCAUUUUGCUUUUUAGAGUAUUUUUUACUUAUACCACACUUAUAAAACACAGGGCAUUUUAUAAGUGCAGGGGACCAGUUAUUCCUGGGAAGAUGGGCUUAGCCUUUACCGUCCUCUUUUUCUUCUUACACCCAUCUUUUGUCAUUGUUUAUUCUUAAGAGAAAGAAGGAAAUCUCAAGGUAGACCAUUCUUCCCUCCACUAGCGGCUAAGUGUCUCAGUCAGGCAGAGUCAAGCCAGUUGGUAAAAUGGGCUGUUCAUGUGUGGGUUUCAAUCUGUCACACGGCCAGGCGCAGUGGCUCACGCCUGUAAUCCCAACACUUUGGGAGGCCGAGGCGGGUGGAUCACGAGGUCAGGAGUUCAAGACCAGCCUGGGCAAGAUGGUGAAACCCAGUCUCGACUAAAACUACAGAAAUUAGCCAGGCGCAGUGGCAGGUGCCAGUAAUCCCAGCUACUCGGGAGGCUGAGGCAGGAGAAUCACUUGAAUCCAGGCGGCAGAGGCUGCAGUGACCAAGAUCACACCACUGCACUCCAGCCUGGGCAACAGAGUGAGGCUCUUUCUCAACAACAACAACAACAAAUCUGUCAAACGUCUUUUCAUUUUUUAUUUUAGCUUUCCUAUGGUGCUGACAGUCAAACUUGUUUACACUCUUAUUGCUGCAGUAGAAAGAGCACUGACCUCCCGGUCUUUGCUCAUUUCCUGCAAGUUUCAACAUUUUACACUGCUUUUCUGAAAAUUGUCUUCUUUGCUCGUGACAUUAUGGGGCUCACUUUAUUUUCAUUAAUGUUAAUGGAGUCACACAUUACAUAACAUGUUCUGUAAAUAAAAUGACUCUGUAGUGACUGUCACCUCUUGAUAGAUUUUUUUUUUCAUUCAUUCAACAAAUAUGUAUCAAGCAUCUGUGUGCCUGGAACUGUUCCAGCACUGGAGACACAUCAGUAGACAAAGCUGAUGAAGAUUCCUACCUGCAUGUCCUUUCUCUUCUAGCAUCAGCUUUUAAGAAAAGCGUCAUUUUACUGAAUUCACACCAUGGUAAAAACAAUUUGAAUAGCCUUUAAGUAUAAAUUGUAACUUCUACACUCUUAAAACGUCAUAACCAAUAUUUUGUAUAUCUUACGUUAAAUUUUGUGAAUGAGACCAAGAGUGGGAGAGGGAAGCUCUCUUCUCUCCUUUCUUCCUCUCCUUUGAGCUGUACCAUCUUUCUGUGUGUUUGGUGCAGCAGAGAGCUGGGAGUAGGGCCCCCCUUAAGGUAGAACUGCAAGUGGCCAAACCAGAAAGCGAGAGGGUUUAGCCCUUGGCCCUGCUGCUCGGGCUGCUCUGUGGCUUCUCCACAGAAGCAUGACACACAAACCAGGUGGUUUGAAAGUUCUUCGGCAUGUAAGACUGAUACUGUUGGGGAGAACAGUAGUUGGAAACAGUGUGUCUGCCUAGUAAAUGUCCUUUAUUUGGCAUUGAUCAUCCUGCUUCUAAAGGAGGAGAGAGCAUGCAAACCCCUCCCACCCAGAGGGGUUUUGAGGGCCCCUUGUGUGGAGGGAGUUUGGGUGUGCAAUGAACUUCUGCCUAGUGAGUGGAUGGAUACUCCAGGCAGUUGGUGCAAUGCCCCAACCUGGAGCAGGCUGGAGUCUCUUAAUAGUCUGUAACCAAUUUAAAGCUUAAUAAAGCUGCGCAGCUUUGGGGGUAGAGAUAUUUACGGUUCACCACAGAGCCCACGCUGGGAUUUAUGCAAGUAGAUUCCACCUGUGCCCUGAGCUCUCCUUGGCGGGUGCCUUCAUCCCCGGGAUGGACAGAUCCUCGCGUGCAUCUUAGGGCUGCCACUCACCAAGCGCAUUGUUCCUUGUUUUGAGUGGGCUUUUUAACAUGUGCAGACAUUGACUCUAAUUCUUCACGUAUUUGCUUUUUGCUGUUGGUGGCGCUGGACUCUGUGCUAAGUGUGAUUUGUUUUUAAAUAUUGCUUUGCACACUCUUCUGUAUUGUGGCAAAUCCACAUCAGAUCCCCUUGUGAUGUUUAUAUGAGCUCAGGCUGUGUUUUCUGUCCAGCCACUUAAUGAGAUUUUUUAUUCUCACUAAAUCACAGAAAUUUUUAUUUCUGUGAUCUUGUAUGAUACAAACAUGUUAUCACCACUAGCACUGGUGAAAAGCAUGUGUUGCUUAAUUGUGUUAUAUUAGGUGGGAAAAUCAGCAAAGCUUUAUUCUAGUCACAACUUCCCAGAAGCGUAUACUGUAAGUUCCAUUUCUUCAGACUUGAAAGCAAUAAAAUGGAAAUUUUUAGUUCAGAUGUGGUUUAAUCCCGAGAACCCGUCACCAUCAACUAGAUGCAUUGGCC